This 253-nucleotide ribosomal RNA is filed under the name uncultured bacterium. RNAcentral's name for it is "partial 16S ribosomal RNA". It matches the Rfam family "Bacterial small subunit ribosomal RNA", at positions 524 to 776 of the family's 1533-position model. The record is from RNAcentral.
UACGUAGGGUGCAAGCGUUGUCCGGAAUUAUUGGGCGUAAAGAGCUCGUAGGCGGUCUGUCGCGUCGGCUGUGAAAUCCCGAGGCUCAACCUCGGGUCUGCAGUCGAUACGGGCAAACUGGAGUUUUGCAGGGGAGACUGGAAUUCCUGGUGUAGCGGUGAAAUGCGCAGAUAUCAGGAGGAACACCGGUGGCGAAGGCGGGUCUCUGGGCAACAACUGACGCUGAGGAGCGAAAGCGUGGGGAGCGAACAGG